UGCCAGCCGCCGCGGUAAUACGGAGGGUCCAAGCGUUGUUCGGAAUCACUGGGCGUAAAGCGCGUGUAGGCGGUUUCGUCAGUCGGAUGUGAAAUCCCAGGGCUCAACCCUGGACGUGCAUCCGAUACUGCGAAACUAGAAUCCCGGAGGGGGUGGCGGAAUUCCUGGUGUAGAGGUGAAAUUCGUAGAUAUUAGGAGGAAUAUUUGUGGUGAAGGUGGUUAUUUGGAUGGGUAUUGACGCUGAGACGCGAAAGCGUGGGUAGCAAACAGGAUUAGAUA
This 279-nucleotide ribosomal RNA is filed under the name uncultured bacterium. RNAcentral's name for it is "partial 16S ribosomal RNA". It matches the Rfam family "Bacterial small subunit ribosomal RNA", at positions 506 to 784 of the family's 1533-position model. The record is from RNAcentral.